AACCUCCGCAAUGUGAGAAAUCGCGACGGGGGGAUCCCAAGUGCCAUUCUUAACGGGAUGGCUUUUCAUUAGUGUAAAGAGCUUUUGGAAUAAGGGCUGGGCAAGACCGGUGCCAGCCGCCGCGGUAACACCGGCAGCUCUAGUGGUAGCAGUUUUUAUUGGGCCUAAAGCGUCCGUAGCCGGUUUAAUAAGUCUCUGGUGAAAUCCUGUAGCUUAACUGUGGGAAUUGCUGGAGAUACUAUUAGACUUGAGACCGGGAGAGGUUAGAGGUACUCCCAGGGUAGAGGUGAAAUUCUGUAAUCCUGGGAGGACCGCCUGUUGCGAAGGCGUCUAACUGGAACGGUUCUGACGGUGAGGGACGAAAGUUAGGGGCGCGAACCGGAUUAGAUACCCGGGUAGUCCUAACCGUAAACGAUGCGGACUUGGUGUUGGGGUGGCUUUGAGCUGCUCCAGUGCCGAAGGGAGCUGUUAAGUCCGCCGCCUGGGAAGUACGGUCGCAAGACUGAAACUUAAAGGAAUU
This 520-nucleotide ribosomal RNA is filed under the name uncultured bacterium. RNAcentral describes it as "bacterial SSU rRNA". It matches the Rfam family "Archaeal small subunit ribosomal RNA", at positions 345 to 866 of the family's 1478-position model. The record is from RNAcentral.